This is a long non-coding RNA of Eupeodes corollae, 2650 nucleotides long. RefSeq lists it as uncharacterized. The transcript has 4 exons. The record is from RefSeq and is a predicted model, not a curated record. NCBI's taxonomy places the organism in Eukaryota, Metazoa, Arthropoda, Insecta, Diptera, Syrphidae.
AUUAGUAUAUAAAGUUCCUUCCGCUAAUAAACAAAAAUAAAAGUUGUUUCUUUAUUAGAUUGAUUUCUACUUGCAUAACAUUGUAUUCAUUUCGCUUAUGGUUACUCACUCAUAAGUGUGACUAUUUUACUCCUUUAUGAAUGGGUACUCUCAUAUGAGUACGCGUACACCUACUCGUACUCAAUCAAAUAGCUGCCGAGCCGACGACUGACUGACUUAAGGAAGCAAGUUUUCAUUUCAUUGAAAAACUGAUGUACGAGACACUAUACGCGAGUAGAUUUCUUGGUACCUUGAAAAAAAUGUGUUUAAUAUUCAAAUUACGUGUGGCGCGUACCUAUAAAACAACCAGAGAGUGAAUUCCCAUUUAAUUUAGUCAUUAAGGUCAUACCUAUUUUUGCACUGAUUUCAAACAAUAACAACCCCCAUCCAAGUCCAUAGGUAUACAUAUGUACAUAUGUUCCAAGGACCCUUAACAAAAAAAACCUUUGUUGUUGGUUGGACUUUUGCACUUAAUAGGUAUAUGUUUAAUAUCACUUGGUCAUAAAUAGAUAUAUUUUAAUAAAGAGCAAGAACCUAGGUACUAUACGAUAUUUGAAGCUAAUUUAUUGAACUUUACCUAAUUAAUAUAAACAAAAACAGGUGUAUUUAAUUUUCAACGUACCUUUUAUUUGAAUUUGUUUCGGUGGUUUCCGGUAAGAAAAUACAAAAACACACUUGAUUUAUCACUUUUGUUUUAAAUUCACAAUAAAAUAAUAAUUAUGUUUUGGAAUGUUCGCUUAUCCAAAUUUAAAAUUUGUGUAUAUAAGUUCAGGAGAUGUGUAUAUCCUUUGGUUUGAUUUUAAUUUUAAACAAAAGUUGUGUAAUUGUUUUUAUUUUUAUAUUUUUAUUCAGUUAUUAAUAUUUUAGUUCUUUUCCUGUCCAGCACGGCGGCGAAAACACAACUGCGCUGAUAUCAAAUUUGUCGUAACGUUUUCACUUCGCAAAUACUUGAUACGGAAUGUCAUUUGGUUUGGAAGACACAUUCAUUCAGUCAGACAAAUUUGCUCAGAAUCAGAACUGAGUUCUGAUGAUGACGUAGACGACGACGACGGCGACGACGAGAUAGUCGGCUUCAUGUGUAUGUGAGCUCGCGCGGGACCAGUCGCAGUCGGCAGCGCCAACUUUUGUGGAAAAACACACUCUGACUUCGGACUAUUCUGGUAGCAUCAAUGAGAUGUGUGUUAUCAACAUCAAUUGGAAAAAGGGGUUGCAAUCUUGCAAUAUUCUGCCUCUUUUACACCGGCGCCGGUAAUGGUGACCGGUCGAACGGACGUUAACGGUUGACGGUACGCUGCUGAUUUGAAAUUAUGCUUCCUGUUUGUCUGAUGGUAAGAUACCGCUCAGUUAUAUUUUUGGACGUAUAAUUAACUGGAAUUAGGUACAUACCUACAAUGCAAUUUACGUAUGUAGCUAUUAAUAAGAUUGAGAUUCGAAUUCGACCUUCAAAAAUUUAACGAUGUCAAAUGAGAAAAAUGAUGAAGACGAUGUAGAAAUCAAAAGUUCAAAUAUUCUUCUGCCUCUAGAUGUAAUGUAUGUAUGCGUGUGGAAAAUAAAAACAUAUACAUACAAAAAGAUAUUCUAUAUUAACGAUUUGGCAAGAACGGUUGCCACUUAAAAAUUAAUUUUGUGCUCAAAAUUAAAAAAAAAAUUAACAAAUUCAGUUGAAAAUUACAAAAAUAAUUUAAGUCUGAAAAAGGGUACAAGUUCAGAACAAUUUUAUCAUUUAUAGUUGAAAUUUAACACUCUGAGCUUUUAUUAAUUUCUUUUAUGAAAAUUCGAAUUUGAAAUCUAUUAACAAACGGACCUUAAAUCCACUAUUAUAUUCAGCUGUUAACGAACAUACAAUUGUACAUACAUACAUAUGUAUGUAUGUAUGUACAUUAAUCAUAGGCAUAACUAGAACGAAAUCAUAUUUUGUUUAUUAGAAACGGAAAGUCGUAUAUCGUCGCUGAAAAAUCAAAGUUAUAUACAUAAGUCAAAAUAUUCAGGUAUACUAUUUUCUACCCUAAAAAGAAUAUUAAUUUUCUUGCAGACAUAAUUACUAAUUAUAAAAUCAAAUAUUAGAGAAAAAGAAAUCAUAAAGAAAAUAAUUUCUGAAAUUUUGACUUGAUUUCAUUUAAAAAAACACACAUUUUGAAGUAAAACACAAUUUUGACAUACAUAUGUAUGUACAUAUAUUACUUUGUUUUUUUUCAGCAACGAUAAGUAGUUGAAACUAAUCCAUAAGAAUUCUUAAAUUCUAAUUAUCAAUAGGAAAAGUUGUAUGAAACGAAUGUCGGGACUACUUUUUACAUAAAUGUUGUUAAAUUUAAAUUUAUGUAAUAGCUUAUGGCUAAUUUCAUUUUCUUAUAACAUUAUACUGACCAAAUAAAAUAUAAAUAUGCAUUAUUAUUUCCGGAAUAGAUUAAGAAAAUCUCUUAUUAUAUACAUAUGUAUAUUCCAAAAUAGAUUUCAUAAAUGAUUUAAAUGCGAUUUGUAAAAGAUUAUACGUUCAUGUGAUUUCGGAUUUGGCAUGGCGAAUACCAAAAUUACAAUUUAUACAUUAUUUGUAACUUCAUCUUUUGUAUUUAAAUUCAAUAGAGAAUGACAAAAUACAAGAUCUCACAUAAUA